Non-coding RNA from Cinara cedri, 1742 nucleotides. Lineage: Eukaryota; Metazoa; Arthropoda; Insecta; Hemiptera; Aphididae. The record is from the annotation of a GenBank genome assembly.
CAUUUACGCGUGGUGAUUGUUUGUUGUCGUUUUUUCUAUCCAAUGUUAUAAAAUGCGAUUGAAAUUGCACUCGAGAUUAAAAUGGAGUUUUCGAGUCAGUAUCAGAGUGAUGCGGAAUUACUACGUUCGCCAACCCGAAUAGUAGAAUACUAAAAUGGGAACACAUAAGGUAUUCGAAAAUAUUUUAUCCGAACAGUAUUUUAGGUGAAAAAUUGAUCGUCCGAACGUAUUGCAUACGAAAAAUAAUUCAGACGAAAACAGUUUGUCCGAAAAAUAAUAUUUCAUCCGAACUGUAUUUUGACAAAAAAUAAUUCUUCCAAACAAUAUUUUGGUCGAAAAAUAUUUCACAGUAUUUGAUCACCACCAGAGGAAGCUCUCUCGGCCAACUGAGCACUGUACCAUAGGUACACAGUCUAUACUCCUAUGGACAUUAUAUAUAUACCUAUUUAUCUUAGUUCUAAGGUAUAUAUUAUACAGUUUUUGUUUUUAUAAUAAGAAUGAUAAGAUAACGAAUAUUUUCGGCUAAAGUGCGGUUCCGAUGUAAUACUUUAUAACUUAAGGAUAAAAUAAUACUUUCGACUAAAAUACGUUUAUUCUAUAAUAUUUUCUAAUUAUUUAUUUUUGAUCGUUUUAUUUUCGUGUAAAAUAUUUUCUGAUAAAAUAUUGUUCGUAUUUUAUAAUACUUGAUAAAAUACGUUUCUAUUGGAAUUUUUUUGCGGAUACUAAAUUUUCUGACAAAAUAUUUUUAGACAUUAUAUAGCCACUCAUUAAAAUUAUUACGAAAAAGAGCUGAUACUGGGGAUGAGAGCAGCCACUGUUAUAGACGAGAAGUUGGGAAAGUAGGAUACUUAAGGUUAUUUCAUUCAUAUCUGGAAACAACGAUAAACCAUUGCUUAACGAAUGACGGUAUAAAACACAAUAUAUUUCAAGCUCGAGUAUCUUUAUGAUCGAAUUUACCUCGUAGUAGACAAGAGGUGCAUGAUAUUACGAAAGACAUCAAAACGUCAAAACGUUUGAAGGUAAUACAUUUUUACAGGUAAAUAAUGCGGAAAAAGGGGAUUUUAUUAUUUGGCACUGAUGACAAUUUAAAAUUUCUUAGUACAUCAACCAUAUUUUACGUUUAUGGAACAUUCUCGUACCGUACAAAGUUUUUUUUUACCAAGUUUUCACAAUUGAUGUAAUGAAAAACAAUCAUUGUACCUUUAGUUUUUACAUUACUGAAAGAAAAGAAAGACAAAAAUCAAGAAUCCUGUGUAGAUAUUUCACGAAUUAUUGAUAAUUAUUGUGUAACUUAUUGGGCAACUCAAGGUUUCAAUUCAUAAAAAUAUUAGUUAAUAAGUAUAAGCCACGGCAAAUAGUUUAAUAUAAUGGUUUUAAUUAAUUUUGUAUUCAUAAACUAUACAUAUAUUUUAUAUAAUGACGCAAUCAGCGAUAGUAUUCUGUGUUUUAAUUUUUCUCUCGAUUUUUCAAUACAUAUAAAUAUUAGCCAAUAAGUAUAAUCCGCGAAAAAAAUGGUUUAAUGUAAAUGUUUUGAUUAAUUUUGUACAUAUAUUUUAUAACGGUGUACAAUAUACGUAUGUGAUUAUUUUUUUAUAAAUAUUGAUUGUUGUAAAUGUUUAAUGUACACUAAUGCAAUAUUAUUUUAACGCCGGCGAAUACGCUGAUCGUUAGUGACUAAUGCUCAAUAUCAAUUACCAAUAUUUUAAUGGACCGCGGCGUAAUAUUUAUAAACUUGUUAACGG